CAAUCUUGAUCUUUCAUCAUGGUAACAGACCUUGUCUUAGCUCCAACGAGCGAUUGAUGAUCCUCCUGUGAGAUUAAACUUGCCAUCCAUCGAUUCUCAGAGCUUCGACUCCAAGACUUUCAUGUCAUCUUCUCCGUUAUUUAUACCUGUGAUUGCUACAAUGGAGUCGUCCUCUUCGUCUGAAGUUGCGAUUCCUUCAAAUCUUGGUUUUUGAUCUCGAAUCUUGGGUCACUUGUUACAGUGAAGUUGGAUAACACUAAUUUCAUAGUGUGGAAAUACCAGAUGCAAAACAUCCUUCGUGCCACUGAUCUGUUGAAGAUUGUAGAUGGUACCUUUUCUUGCCCUAGCAAUAUGAUUCGAAGUAUAUCAGGAACAGAGAUUGUGAAUCCAAAAGCAAUUCGUUGGAAGAUGAUUGAUGCACACCUUCUUAGUUGCAUCACAGCCACACUUUCCCCUUCUAUAUUCACCUCUGUUCUUUAUCUUCAGACCAGCUCUCAGGUAUGGAAAAUGUUUGAUAAGCAGUUUACUUCUCUAUCAAGAUCUCAUAUCCAUCAGUUAAAGAACAAAUUGAGUUCAAUUUCAAAGAAAUCAAACUGCAUGGAGAUAUAUCUGGGUAAAAUCAAAAGUUUAGUUGACCAAUUGAGCAUUGCCUCUUCAUUUGUUGAUGAUGAGGAUUGUUCUCCUCACUUUGAAUGGCUUGCCUAAUGAAUAUGAUGCUGUUAAAACUGCUAUCCGUACUCAUUCGAAGAGUAUCACUAUGGAAGAGCUUUCUUCUUUACUCUGCUCAGAGGCUAUUCAUAUUGAAGGCAAAUUGAAACAAGCCUCAAAUCUCCCAGUUGUUUAUGCAACAAUAAAGGAACCUGUGUCUUCUUCAAAAGAUUUUACUUCUUAUUCCCAUGGUCGAGGUUCUACUCGUAAUGAUUCUCACGGUUAUCAUCGUGGAAAUAGAUUUACUCAAGGUCGAUCUUCUUCAUUUUGUAGUAGAUAACAAGGUUGAGGAGGUUGAUCAAGUUCUAGCCGUUAUGACAUGAUCUGUCAAAUCUGUGGCAAGCAAAAUCACACUGCUCUAGAGUGUUGGCACAAACUGGACUCUAAUUUUCAAUAUUCUCCUUCAUAUCCACAUCACUCACCUCAAUCUCAGCAGCAUCAAUCUAAGGCCUUUGUUGCAUCUGUGCCAGUUGAUACUACUACUUCAACCUCUUCUCCCUGGUUCUUGACUCUGCUGCAUCUAAUCACAUCACCAAUGAUUUGCACCUUUUGAAUUCCUAUUAGCCAUAUAACAGAGAAGAUCAAGUCGCCAUUGGUAAUGGUUCUUCACUCUCUAUUCAUAAUACUGGGCAAGGACAAUCAUUCCAAGGAUAUUCUUCAUAGAGGUCUUCAUGCUAAUGGUCUUUACCAAUUUUUUGACAAUAUUUUUCAUGCUUCACCUCAUGCUUAUAGUAGUUCAACCUCAUCUUCCUCUUCUUCUGCAUCUGUUGAUACAUGGCAUCAAAGACUAGGCCAUCCUUCUUCUUUUAAGUUUCAUCUUCUUAAAUAGCAUUUAUGUUUGUCAUCUAAUAAGACUACACAUUCAUGUGUUAACUGUGUUGUGGCUAAGUGUCAUAGAUUACUUUUUCACCUUUCCAAUAAUCAUGUAAAUCAGCCUUUAGUAUUAAUACAUAGUGAUGUCUGGGGCCAUUUACUUCUUCUUCUUCUCAAUACAAGUAUUAUGUGCUAUUCAUUGA
Molecule: long non-coding RNA, 1724 nt
Organism: Camellia sinensis
Lineage: Eukaryota; Viridiplantae; Streptophyta; Magnoliopsida; Ericales; Theaceae
Source: RefSeq, a predicted model, not a curated record